This 468-nucleotide ribosomal RNA is filed under the name uncultured bacterium. Its description in RNAcentral is "partial 16S ribosomal RNA". It matches the Rfam family "Bacterial small subunit ribosomal RNA", at positions 28 to 507 of the family's 1533-position model. The record is from RNAcentral.
GACGAACGCUGGCGGCGUGCUUAACACAUGCAAGUCGAACGGAAAGACCCUGCUUUUGUGGGUUGCUCGAUUGGCGAACGGGUGAGUAACACGUGAGUAACCUGCCCUUGACUUUGUGGUAACUUCUGGAAACUGGGGCUAAUACCGGAUAGGAUCUCCUGCUGCAUGGUGGUGGUUGGAAAGUUUCGGCGGUUGGGGAUGGACUCGCGGCUUAUCAGCUUGUUGGUGGGGUAGUGGCUUACCAAGGCUUUGACGGGUAGCCGGCCUGAGAGGGUGACCGGCCACAUUGGGACUGAGAUACGGCGCAGACGCCUACGGGAGGCAGCAGUGGGGAAUAUUGCACAAUGGGCGGAAGCCUGAUGCAGCAACGCCGCGUGCGGGAUGACGGCCUUCGGGUUGUAAACCGCUUUCGCCGGUGACGAAGCGUGAGUGACGGUAAUGGGUAAAGAAGCACCGGCUAACUACGUG